RNAcentral lists this ribosomal RNA (491 nucleotides) under uncultured bacterium. RNAcentral describes it as "bacterial SSU rRNA". It matches the Rfam family "Bacterial small subunit ribosomal RNA", at positions 269 to 753 of the family's 1533-position model. The record is from RNAcentral.
CAAGGCGACGAUCAGUAGCUGGUCUGAGAGGACGACCAGCCACAUUGGGAUUGAGACACGGCCCAGAUUCUUACGGGAGGCAGCAGUGGGGAAUUUUGGACAAUGGGGGCAACCCUGAUCCAGCAAUGCCGCGUGUGUGAAGAAGGCCUUCGGGUUGUAAAGCACUUUUGUCAGGAACGAAACGGUGGGGGUUAAUAUCCUCUGCUAAUGACGGUACCUGAAGAAUAAGCACCGGCUAACUACGUGCCAGCAGCCGCGGUAAUACGUAGGGUGCGAGCGUUAAUCGGAAUUACUGGGCGUAAAGCGUGCGCAGGCGGUUGUGCAAGUCAGAUGUGAAAUCCCCGGGCUCAACCUGGGAAUGGCAUUUGUGACUGCACGGCUAGAGUGUGUCAGAGGGGGGUAGAAUUCCACGUGUAGCAGUGAAAUGCGUAGAUAUGUGGAGGAAUACCGAUGGCGAAGGCAGCCCCCUGGGAUAACACUGACGCUCAGCA